Molecule: long non-coding RNA, 405 nt
Filed under: Homo sapiens (human)
Lineage: Eukaryota; Metazoa; Chordata; Mammalia; Primates; Hominidae
Description: HSALNT0300409
Source: RNAcentral
CUUUAAGAAGCUUCCCGAGAUCUUCUGAAUCCUCAGCAAUCUCCUGCCCUGGCAUUCAAGGCCUGCCUGUCUAGGAUCCUGUCUCUGCAGCUCUGCCCACGUGACCGUAUCCUUGGAAGAAAAAAAAAAUGGGGAUGCACAAAGUGACCAGCACAGGGUAUUCGUGAUGACCGGGGAACAGAGAUUGAGAAAGCAAGAGCCUUCCUGGCAAAUCUGGGUUCAGACGCGGCAGAGACAGCUGUUUCCAGCCACUGCUAUGAACCCAUCUAAGUGAAAUUGUGAGGACUAAGGAGAGAGGCACCCAUGACUGCCUUAAUCCACUCCUACCCAUCGUCUCUUCACCCAUCCACCCAUCCUUGCUGCAGACCUUUACUGGGCACCUGUGCCAGGAGACCAUCACUGCCC